Small nuclear RNA from Artibeus jamaicensis (Jamaican fruit-eating bat), 103 nucleotides. Lineage: Eukaryota; Metazoa; Chordata; Mammalia; Chiroptera; Phyllostomidae. The record is from RefSeq and is a predicted model, not a curated record.
UUACUUUGGCAGCACAUGUACUAAAAUUUUAAUGAUACAUGGAAGAUUGGCAGGGCCUCUGCACCAGGACGACAUGCAAAUUUGUGAGAUGUUUCAUACUAUU